GGGGGGGGGGGGGGGGGGGGGGGGGGCGGGCGGGGCGGGCGGCGGCGCGGGCUGCGGCCUGGCGGCGAGGGGCGAACGGGGGAGUAAUGCAUCGGAACGGGCCCGGUAGUGGGGGAUAGCCCGGCGAAAGCCGGGUUAAUACCGCAUACGACCUGAGGGUGACAGCGGGGGACCCGAAGGCCUCGCGCUAUUGGAGCGGCCGCUGUCGGCUUAGCUAGUUGGUGGGGGAAAGGCGUACCAAGGCGACGAUCCGUAGCUGGUCUGAGAGGACGACCAGCCACACUGGGACGGAGACACGGCCCAGACUCCUACGGGAGGCAGCAGUGGGGAAUUUUGGACAAUGGGGGCAACCCUGAUCCAGCCAUGCCGCGUGCGGGAAGAAGGCCUUCGGGUUGUAAACCGCUUUUGUUCGGGAAGAAAUCCUCUGGGCUAAUACCCCGGGGGGAUGACGGUACCGGAAGAAUAAGCACCGGCUAACUACGUG
RNAcentral lists this ribosomal RNA (484 nucleotides) under uncultured bacterium. RNAcentral's name for it is "partial 16S ribosomal RNA". It matches the Rfam family "Bacterial small subunit ribosomal RNA", at positions 39 to 507 of the family's 1533-position model. The record is from RNAcentral.